Molecule: non-coding RNA, 120 nt
Organism: Acaromyces ingoldii
Lineage: Eukaryota; Fungi; Basidiomycota; Exobasidiomycetes; Exobasidiales; Cryptobasidiaceae
Source: the annotation of a RefSeq genome assembly
GGGGCUGUAGCUCAGGGGUUAGAGUGUCUCCUUCGCAUGUUUCUUGCAUUAACACGCGAAGAAGAUUUCCUUCUUAGCAAUAAGAGGAGAAGGUCCGGGGUUCAAAUCCCCGCUGCUCCA